RNAcentral lists this ribosomal RNA (1315 nucleotides) under metagenome. RNAcentral describes it as "bacterial LSU rRNA". It matches the Rfam family "Bacterial large subunit ribosomal RNA", at positions 1598 to 2925 of the family's 2925-position model. The record is from RNAcentral.
UGUCACACUGCCGAGAAAAGCUUCUAGUUAGAAAACAACGGCCCGUACCGUAAACCGACACAGGUAGUCGAGGAGAGUAUCCUAAGGUGUGCGAGAGAACUCUCGUUAAGGAACUCGGCAAAAUGACCCCGUAACUUCGGGAGAAGGGGUGCUGUUCGCAAGAACAGCCGCAGUGAAUAGGCCCAAGCGACUGUUUAUCAAAAACACAGGUCUCUGCAAAAUCGAAAGAUGAAGUAUAGGGGCUGACGCCUGCCCGGUGCUGGAAGGUUAAGAGGAGUGCUUAGCGCAAGCGAAGGUACGAAUUGAAGCCCCAGUAAACGGCGGCCGUAACAAUAACGGUCCUAAGGUAGCGAAAUUCCUUGUCGGGUAAGUUCCGACCCGCACGAAAGGCGUAACGAUUUGGGCACUGUCUCAACGAGAGACUCGGUGAAAUUUUAGUACCUGUGAAGAUGCAGGUUACCCGCGACAGGACGGAAAGACCCCAUGGAGCUUUACUGUAAUUUGAUAUUGAGUGUCUGUACCGCAUGUACAGGAUAGGUAGGAGCCGUAGAGAUCGGGACGCUAGUUUCGAUGGAGGCAAUGGUGGGAUACUACCCUUGCGUUAUGGCCACUCUAACCCGCAUCACUAAUCGUGAUGUGAGACAGUGUCAGAUGGGCAGUUUGACUGGGGCGGUCGCCUCCUAAAAGGUAACGGAGGCGCCCAAAGGUUCCCUCAGAAUGGUUGGAAAUCAUUCGUAGAGUGCAAAGGCAAAAGGGAGCUUGACUGCGAGAGCUACAACUCGAGCAGGGACGAAAGUCGGGCUUAGUGAUCCGGUGGUUCCGCAUGGAAGGGCCAUCGCUCAACGGAUAAAAGCUACCCUGGGGAUAACAGGCUUAUCUCCCCCAAGAGUCCACAUCGACGGGGAGGUUUGGCACCUCGAUGUCGGCUCGUCGCAUCCUGGGGCUGUAGUCGGUCCCAAGGGUUGGGCUGUUCGCCCAUUAAAGCGGCACGCGAGCUGGGUUCAGAACGUCGUGAGACAGUUCGGUCCCUAUCCGUCGCGGGCGUUGGAAAUUUGAGAGGAGCUGUCCUUAGUACGAGAGGACCGGGAUGGACUUACCGCUGGUGUACCAGUUGUCUCGCCAGAGGCAUCGCUGGGUAGCUAUGUAGGGAAGGGAUAAACGCUGAAAGCAUCUAAGUGUGAAGCCCACCUCAAGAUGAGAUUUCCCAUUUCUUUAAGAAAGUAAGAUCCCUGAGAGAUGAUCAGGUAGAUAGGUCAGGAGUGGAAGUGCAGCGAUGUACGGAGCGGACUGAUACUAAUCGAUCGAGGACUUAACC